This 469-nucleotide ribosomal RNA is filed under the name uncultured bacterium. Its description in RNAcentral is "bacterial SSU rRNA". It matches the Rfam family "Bacterial small subunit ribosomal RNA", at positions 328 to 793 of the family's 1533-position model. The record is from RNAcentral.
UAGCCAGACUCCUACGGGAGGCAGCAGUGAGGAAUAUUGGUCAAUGGGCGCGAGCCUGAACCAGCCAAGUCGCGUGAGGGAAGACGGUCCUAUGGAUUGUAAACCUCUUUUGUCGGGGAGCAAAAAGGCCUCGUGAGGCCACAAGUGAGAGUACCCGAAGAAAAAGCAUCGGCUAACUCCGUGCCAGCAGCCGCGGUAAUACGUAGGGGGCGAGCGUUAUCCGGAAUUACUGGGUGUAAAGGGAGCGUAGACGGCGAGGUAAGCCUGAAGUGGAAGCCCGCGGCCCAACCGCGGAACUGCUUUGGGAACUGUUUUGCUGGAGUAUGGGAGGGGUAAGCGGAAUUCCUGGUGUAGCGGUGAAAUGCGUAGAUAUCAGGAGGAACACCGGUGGCGAAGGCGGCUUACUGGACCAUAACUGACGUUGAGGCUCGAAAGCGUGGGGAGCGAACAGGAUUAGAUACCCGGGUAC